Molecule: RNase P RNA, 307 nt
Filed under: Paramormyrops kingsleyae
Lineage: Eukaryota; Metazoa; Chordata; Actinopteri; Osteoglossiformes; Mormyridae
Description: Nuclear RNase P (ENSPKIG00000008171.1)
Rfam family: Nuclear RNase P
About the family: Ribonuclease P (RNase P) is a ubiquitous endoribonuclease, found in archaea, bacteria and eukarya as well as chloroplasts and mitochondria.
Source: RNAcentral
AGCGGAAGGAAGCUCACUGUAGAGGUCACGUGCUGAGUGCUCAGUCACUCACCCAAUCACCUCGGGGAAGGUCUGAGACAAGAGCCAAUCGCUGCCCUAGCAGGGCAUCGCCCGAUGCGGGUGAGCGAGCGCACAGAAAUCAUGGGUUGCUACGAGCACCUUAGCAGGAGAAGCCGUCUGGCACAAUAACAGUGCGCACGGUGGAUGCGGUCUCGGCAACUUGGAAACACUCGCGGCUGGCGCAUGAGUGCGAUGUGUGAGCUGGAGAACAUCUCCAGAACCCAAUUCAGACUACUCUCCUUCCACU